This 440-nucleotide long non-coding RNA is filed under the name Carica papaya (papaya). Its description in RNAcentral is "long non-coding RNA (CPAP_LNC013285)". Lineage: Eukaryota; Viridiplantae; Streptophyta; Magnoliopsida; Brassicales; Caricaceae. The record is from RNAcentral.
AAUUAUUUCACAUUAAGGGUUUUAUGAUAAUUACCGCAAAUUAUGAUUUCUUCAGAAUAUCUCCUUCAUUCUGUCUUCUAACAUGCACAUCGUGUUUUUUUUUUUUUUUUUCUAUGUACUUUCAUAUAUCCAACUACAAUAACUUGCGGAAUAAAACUAGAUGUACAAAGAGAUCUAUAUGGAAAAAUAUUUCAACAAAAAAUACAAGCCAAGCCAAGUCAUCGUAUACGUGCCAAUAGAAUCUGAAAGUAAAGUUUUCUUCAAUAAAGCUUCUUGAACAACAUGCGUCAUUAGGGUUAACCCAACUUCCCCGAUGAGAUAAGCAGUUCAACGAAUCAAGCAUAUAAAAGCAGUUGCUACGACUGAACCAUUUUUAGAUAAAUAGUUCAAUUUCCCAGUUAUUCCCUGGAUUUUGUUCUUCACGGAGGUUCAUGGAGUUG